CAGCAGCCGCGGGAAUACGUAGGGUGCGAGCGUUAAUCGGAAUUACUGGGCGUAAAGCGUGCGCAGGCGGUUGUGUAAGACAGGUGUGAAAUCCCCGGGCUUAACCUGGGAACCGCGCUUGUGACUGCACAGCUAGAGUAUGGCAGAGGGGGGUGGAAUUCCACGUGUAGCAGUGAAAUGCGUAGAGAUGUGGAGGAACACCGAUGGCGAAGGCGACUAUCUGGGCCAACACUGACACUGAGGCACGAAAGCGUGGGGAGCAAACAGGAUUAGAGACCCCAGUAGUCCCUGUCUCUUAUAC
Molecule: ribosomal RNA, 301 nt
Filed under: uncultured bacterium
Lineage: Bacteria
Description: partial 16S ribosomal RNA
Rfam family: Bacterial small subunit ribosomal RNA
Source: RNAcentral